RNAcentral lists this long non-coding RNA (257 nucleotides) under Nicotiana benthamiana. RNAcentral describes it as "long non-coding RNA (NBEN_LNC001395)". Lineage: Eukaryota; Viridiplantae; Streptophyta; Magnoliopsida; Solanales; Solanaceae. The record is from RNAcentral.
AGGAUUGUCUCUCUUUGCUGGAUAGAAUUGCAUUGAAAUCCCCUGCAAUAAUCCAAGGAUUAGUAAUACUAGCUGAUAAGUUCAAGAUAGAAUUCCACAGCAUCCUCCUCUGAUCACAAUCAUUAAAUCCAAAAACUACUGAGAGCCAGCAGAUAACACCACCAGUGUUAUGUUGAACUUGACAAUGAAUGAUUUGAGCCUCCUCAAGAUAUCCUGUAACCACUACUUUUGUAGGAUCCCACAGAAUCCAAAUUCUC